AGGAUGAACGCUAGCUACAGGCUUAACACAUGCAAGUCGAGGGGAAACGAUAGAGAAAGCUUGCUUUUUCUAGGCGUCGACCGGCGCACGGGUGAGUAACGCGUAUCCAACCUGCCCACCACUUGGGGAUAACCUUGCGAAAGUAAGACUAAUACCCAAUGAUAUCUCUAGAAGACAUCUGAAAGAGAUUAAAGAUUUAUCGGUGAUGGAUGGGGAUGCGUCUGAUUAGCUUGUUGGCGGGGUAACGGCCCACCAAGGCGACGAUCAGUAGGGGUUCUGAGAGGAAGGUCCCCCACAUUGGAACUGAGACACGGUCCAAACUCCUACGGGAGGCAGCAGUGAGGAAUAUUGGUCAAUGGGCGAGAGCCUGAACCAGCCAAGUAGCGUGCAGGAUGACGGCCCUAUGGGUUGUAAACUGCUUUUAUAAGGGAAUAAAGUGAGAGUCGUGACUCUUUUUGCAUGUACCUUAUGAAUAAGGACCGGCUAAUUCCGUGCCAGCAGCCGCGGUAAUACGGAAGGUCCGGGCGUUAUCCGGAUUUAUUGGGUUUAAAGGGAGCGUAGGCCGGAGAUUAAGCGUGUUGUGAAAUGUAGAUGCUCAACGUCUGCACUGCAGCGCGAACUGGUUUCCUUGAGUACGCACAAAGUGGGCGGAAUUCGUGGUGUAGCGGUGAAAUGCUUAGAUAUCACGAAGAACUCCGAUUGCGAAGGCAGCUCACUGGAGCGCAACUGACGCUGAAGCUCGAAAGUGCGGGUAUCGAACAGGAUUAGAUACCCUGGUAGUCCGCACGGUAAACGAUGGAUGCCCGCUGUUGGUCUGAAUAGGUCAGCGGCCAAGCGAAAGCAUUAAGCAUCCCACCUGGGGAGUACGCCGGCAACGGUGAAACUCAAAGGAAUUGACG
Molecule: ribosomal RNA, 899 nt
Filed under: uncultured bacterium
Lineage: Bacteria
Description: bacterial SSU rRNA
Rfam family: Bacterial small subunit ribosomal RNA
Source: RNAcentral